Molecule: transfer RNA, 76 nt
Filed under: subsurface metagenome
Description: tRNA-Arg
Rfam family: tRNA
About the family: Transfer RNA (tRNA) molecules are approximately 80 nucleotides in length. Their secondary structure includes four short double-helical elements and three loops (D, anti-codon, and T loops).
Source: RNAcentral
ACGCCCGUAGCUCAGCCCGGAUAGAGCAGAGGUUUCCUAAACCUCUUGUCGGAGGUUCAAAUCCUCUCGGGCGUGC